AACGAACGCUGGCGGCAUGCCUAACACAUGCAAGUCGAACGAGACCUUCGGGUCUAGUGGCGCACGGGUGCGUAACGCGUGGGAACCUGCCCUUAGGUUCGGAAUAACUCCCCGAAAGGGGUGCUAAUACCAGAUAAUGUCUUCGGACCAAAGAUUUAUCGCCUUUGGAUGGGCCCGCGUUGGAUUAGCUAGUUGGUAGGGUAAAAGCCUACCAAGGCGACGAUCCAUAGCUGGUCUGAGAGGAUGAUCAGCCACACUGGGACUGAGACACGGCCCAGACCCCCAGGGGGGGCAGCAGGGGGGAAUUUUGGAAAAGGGGCGAAAGCCUGAUCCCGCAAGGCCGGGGGAGGGAUGAAGGCCUUAGGGUUGUAAAGCUUUUUUACCCGGGAUGAUAAUGACAGUACCGGGAGAAUAAGCCCCGGCUAACCCCGU
Molecule: ribosomal RNA, 432 nt
Filed under: uncultured bacterium
Lineage: Bacteria
Description: partial 16S ribosomal RNA
Rfam family: Bacterial small subunit ribosomal RNA
Source: RNAcentral